GAGAAACACCCACGGAGGCCGCCGCGCUACAGCGCCUCUUAGCGGCCCUUCGGGUAGAUGUGCGAGGAGGCCGCACGCAGCUACCUAACUAACGCUUGCUCUGGGCUAGCGAUCCCCGCGUUAAGUCUGGACUCCGGACGUCGGGACCAAACUCGUUAGACCCGGAAUCCAUCUAUUCUACGCCGUGUCUCCGGAAAUUGGAUGGAAGGUGUCGGGAGAACCCCGAAGGGCGAAGGGCGGUGAUUCCCGAGCCCGUCAGGCAGCGUGCAUUUAUUAAGCGCUUACAGUGUUCCAGGCGCGGUACUAAACACCAGGGACACAGAGAAAUCAAAACCGGCCCCUGGCCUCAAGGAACUUGUAUCCCAACGGGGGAGACACACACGAAAGCCGCAGACACGUGGGCUGUAUAAGUGGGGCGCGUGGAAAGUCGUCUCCGAGGCAAAGGCACUCCCGGGGGCAGACAAUAGUUCCAGGAACUGAAGGACGCGAGUAACUAAGAGGCGGGGGAGAAGGGACAUCCCCGGCGCAGGAGGACGACGUCUGAGCACAGAGCCGCGACCCAGAGAGCCGCAGGUUUGGAAAACCAAAUUCAAGAGAUUGUAUUAAAUUGGAUGAAGUAUUGUAAAUUAGCAGAUUAUCUACGAAUGAACCAGAGAAGCAGAGACUCCUUCAUAGCUGUCCUGAUUCCAGAAUGUCUGAGAAGCUAGCCAGGGACCAGCUGACUAUAUGAGACAUCUGUGACUCAAAAUGUGAUGAUAUAAUGGACAUUGGGAAUGAGUUACUAGGAUACAAAGAGACUUGCUGUCAGUUAAUAUUGAUGAUCAUUAUUGUAUUGCUUUGCCCUUUUGUCGGAUGGUGUUUAUGUUUAAGUUUUCUUGGUUACCUCGGUGACAUGCAAAUUUCCCUUUUCAACAUUAGUCUACAUGAAUCCUUUAAAUAGUUUGAUCUAUAGCUAACAUGUAAUUCUGACCAUGAAUAUAUGAAAAUAUUGUAUAAA
Antechinus flavipes (yellow-footed antechinus) is the source of this 997-nucleotide long non-coding RNA. RefSeq lists it as uncharacterized. NCBI's taxonomy places the organism in Eukaryota, Metazoa, Chordata, Mammalia, Dasyuromorphia, Dasyuridae. The transcript is spliced from 2 exons. The record is from RefSeq and is a predicted model, not a curated record.